Molecule: ribosomal RNA, 215 nt
Filed under: Campeiostachys nutans
Lineage: Eukaryota; Viridiplantae; Streptophyta; Magnoliopsida; Poales; Poaceae
Description: Elymus nutans partial small subunit ribosomal RNA
Rfam family: Eukaryotic small subunit ribosomal RNA (bases 37-215)
Source: RNAcentral
GGACCAUCAUGUCGGUCGUGCCUCGGUACGUACUGGUAUUGUUGGUUUCUCCCUUCUGACGAACCAUGAUGUCAUUUAUUUGGUGUUGUGGGAAAUCAGGACUGUUACUUUGAAAAAAUUAGAGUGUUUAAAGCAGGCUAACGCCUGAAUACAUUAGCAUGGAAUAAUGAAAUAGGACGUUCGAUCCUAUUUUGUUGGUUUCUAGGAUUGACGUA